UACGUAGGGAGCAAGCGUUAUCCGGAUUUACUGGGCGUAAAGGGUGCGUAGGUGGUUUCUUAAGUCAGAUGUGAAAGCCCACGGCUUAACCGUGGAGGGUCAUUGGAAACUGGUCGACUUGAGUGCAGAAGAGGGAAGUGGAAUUCCAUGUGUAGCGGUGAAAUGCGUAGAGAUAUGGAGGAACACCAGUGGCGAAGGCGGCUUCCUGGUCUGUAACUGACACUGAGGCGCGAAAGCGUGGGGAGCAAACAGGAUUAGAUACCCUGGUAGU
This 271-nucleotide ribosomal RNA is filed under the name uncultured prokaryote. RNAcentral describes it as "partial 16S ribosomal RNA". It matches the Rfam family "Bacterial small subunit ribosomal RNA", at positions 524 to 794 of the family's 1533-position model. The record is from RNAcentral.